UAAAACUCCUUCACCAACUCAAUAUUGCCUGGUGCUGGAUAUGUAGUCAGUCUCUCCCCAUCUCGCCUCUCAAUCUCCAGUCCAAACUCUGGAGCUAAGUCAGGAAUGUACAUGGCCUUCCUUUCCAUCAGCAAAUGCCUCUCCUAGACGGUAACAUAAUGAUCUUCAUGCUUCUUUGAGAGGAACCUAGAAGAAUAUAAUCUCCUAGGUCUCUCUGCCUCCUUCCUUUUGUUGCCCAUAGUUUUUACUCUUCUUGAGGUAGACAUUCCUGUAUCAAAUCAUCCAAAUAACAUUCACAGAAAUAUCAUUAAAGGUUCAUACAUCAUCAAUUUCAUUCUCAGAUCACACAUAAUCCAAUACUGAAGCAAAAACAGGGCCCCUCAGCA
RNAcentral lists this long non-coding RNA (386 nucleotides) under Vigna radiata. RNAcentral describes it as "long non-coding RNA (VRAD_LNC004802)". The record is from RNAcentral. Lineage: Eukaryota; Viridiplantae; Streptophyta; Magnoliopsida; Fabales; Fabaceae.